Non-coding RNA from Drosophila suzukii, 1955 nucleotides. Lineage: Eukaryota; Metazoa; Arthropoda; Insecta; Diptera; Drosophilidae. The record is from RefSeq and is a predicted model, not a curated record.
UAAAUAAAUAAGUAUACCCCGGAGUUGGGGGAUACAGCUCCCGAGAUGAGCUGCCUCCGUUGAAGAAACCACAAGUGCAGUGGCAUCGUCAGCAUCCGGAAUCCGGGCUCCUGAGGAGCAGCUACUUGAGGUAGCGAAGUCAGAGUUUCAAGAGCCCCAGAUGAGGAACUGUACGUGCAUAAACGAGGCUGUUAUCAACUGUCGUCCAUUAGGCGUCCGCCACAUCUCAACAUGCAUCAUGCUGGAGUGCCGGCUGAAUGCUCAAUAAAUUAUAUAUGUAACAUGCUUUUUAUCAAUUACUCGCACCUUCAAGCCGCAGACGACAGACGACAAGCUGCAGCGAUGUCCAUGGCAAAUUGCGGGACAAAACGUAAAGUCGGAGAGGAGACGAGGGCAAAGAGUUGAGGCCGGGCCAAGAAGACCAGGCGAGAGCAGACCGGACCAGACCAGACGACCAUGCCAACGAGCUGGGUCUUCGAAACUUCGUUGGCAGCAAAUGCAAUUCCAGCCAGUAAAUGGAGACGGCAGCUAUCCGAGUCCAAAGGCGUUAACAAGUGUGGCAGCGAAAAGGGAGCUGGGUCGGCUCUGGGCUCCUGAAACUUUUCCAUUGGGUUCGCCCUGCCUCUGUUUUGAGACCACAGUCAAGCCUCUAUGGGUGGAGUCUGUUGUUGCAGAGUAUGCAAAAUGUAACUUCAAGUUAGGAUGAUACAUUACUUUUAAGAAAAAACUCAACGUAGGUGGUAUAAAGAACAUGGUAUCUGAAUAAAGGACAUGACAUCAAAAAUCAAUAUGGAAAUUUCCUGUUUUAAAAAGUCUCGCGAUUUUAUAUUUUUUCAAUCUGUUCCUGGGAAGUUGGCCUUUAUUUCGGUUUAUAAUUACAAGGCUCUAGUUCAUCAUUUGCAUCACAGUCUGCUGGUUUUUUCCACAUCCUCAAUCUCAGAGCCAGCUGCAUAAUAUUCACAACUUAUUCAUUGUUUCGUCAAUCAGGCGUUGACAUGCCAGUUCCGCCCUAAUGGCCAACAAACUGAGCAACAGGAGGAACUCGAAUGGGAAAAGAAAAGGAGGAGGAGGAGGAGGAGCACCUGCCACGAAAGCCAGCCAAAGUUAUUCAAGCAAAACUCCUCGAACACACAAAAAAGCCAACCAAAACCGAACAAAACCAACGAAAGAAAGCAAUUUUGUGAAAAUUUAAGAUGUGUUGCGGGCAAACUUUGGCCUCCUUCUCCUUCGCCUCCUCGAACUUCUGCUCCGCCGUGUUCUGUGCAUUUUACAUACAACACGAAGGAAACAUGGGAACAACAAGCACACGAAAAAGGUAGAGAUAAAAAUGCGCAGAUACCGGAGGAGACCGGGUCCCAGCUGAACGUCGGGAUCCAGAUCCAAGCCAGCCAGCAGGCCAGCCAGCCAGACCCAGGAGUUCACUCAUUUAAAUUAUCAACACGAAGAGGGAAGCGAAUGGAUGCAAGAUGUUCUAGAGGAGCGGAGAAUCCUCCAGCGAAUCCACUUAACUUCAAGUUAACACAUAUGCUUGGUUGCCUGCGUACGAUAAUAAUAACCAUGGUCCCGAUGAUCACCUUGAUGAUGAAGCUCCCUGUGCAGACGAUGAUGAAGUUCUGGUUCUUCCUCCAUUCAUUCUCCUUUUUGUUCUCCAGUUAUCCAGUUUGCCAAAUUGUUAAUGGUUAUCAAGGACGAGGAGGGACUCCUCUUCAAUUUCUGCAACCUGAGACCUUGUCCGAAAUUGCUCUACCUUUUUGGGCUGCUGCUGGUUUUCAAUCGGGUUUUUACUUUCCUGCUUGGACACAACAUGCAGAUGGAACUGAUUUUACUUUAAGUUAAGUUAAGAACGAAAAUAGGAGCAAUCUUAGUUCACAGAGCCCUUUAUAAAUGCAGAGACCUAACGGAUUAAUAUUACAUUUAGUUCUUACUGCUCUAGUAGCCUCUGAGUAUUAUAUUAA